Jaculus jaculus (lesser Egyptian jerboa) is the source of this 107-nucleotide small nuclear RNA. The record is from Ensembl. NCBI's taxonomy places the organism in Eukaryota, Metazoa, Chordata, Mammalia, Rodentia, Dipodidae.
GUGCUCACUUCAGCAGCACAUACACUAAAAUGGGAAUGAUACAGAAAGAUUUAGCAUGGCCUUAACACAAGGAUGACAUGCAACUUGGCGAAAUGUUCCAUAUUUUU